This 1556-nucleotide ribosomal RNA is filed under the name human gut metagenome. RNAcentral describes it as "bacterial LSU rRNA". It matches the Rfam family "Bacterial large subunit ribosomal RNA", at positions 1344 to 2925 of the family's 2925-position model. The record is from RNAcentral.
UCUAAGGUUUCCAGAGUAAAGCUGAUCUGCUCUGGGUAAGUCGGGGCCUAAGCACAGGUCGCAAGACGUAAGCGAUGGAUAACAGGUUUAGAUUCCUGUACCACGCAUUAUCAGAACUGUAGGGACGCAUGUGGAAAGCACGAGCCGGGAAUGGAAAGACCGGUACAAGCGGGGUAGGAGUACAAUAGGCAAAUCCGUUGUAUGAUCCGAAGACGUGAUGUGGAGCGAAAUAAAGUAGUGAAGCGUGUGAGCCAUGUGCCGAGAAAAGCUGCUAUUGUGUAAUGCGUGCCCGUACCGUAAACCGACACAGGUGGAUGAGGAGAGAAUCCUAAGGCCGGCGGAAGAAGCAUUGUUAAGGAAUUCGGCAAAAUGACCCCGUAACUUCGGGAGAAGGGGUGCCUGCGAGAGCAGGCCGCAGAGAAUAGGCUCAAGCAACUGUUUAGCAAAAACACAGGUCUAUGCGAAACCGAAAGGUGAAGUAUAUGGGCUGACGCCUGCCCGGUGCUGGAAGGUUAAGAGGAGAGGUUAGCUUCGGCGAAGCUUUGAAUUUAAGCCCCAGUAAACGGCGGCCGUAACUAUAACGGUCCUAAGGUAGCGAAAUUCCUUGUCGGGUAAGUUCCGACCCGCACGAAAGGCGUAAUGAUUUGAGCACUGUCUCGACAAUGCAUCCGGUGAAAUUGAAGUACCAGUGAAGAUGCUGGUUACCCGCGCCAGGACGGAAAGACCCCAUGGAGCUUUACUCCAGUUUGAUACUGGGAUUCGGUACUGCAUGUACAGGAUAGGUGGGAGACGAAGAAGGAUGGACGCCAGUCUGUCCGGAGUCGCUGUUGGGAUACCACCCCUGUAGUACUGGGUUUCUAACCAGUUGCCAUGAACUGGCAAUGGGACAAUGUCAGGCGGGGAGUUUGACUGGGGCGGUCGCCUCCGAAAGGGUAUCGGAGGCGCUCAAAGGUUCCCUCAGAAUGGUUGGAAACCAUUUGAAGAGUGCAAAGGCAGAAGGGAGCUUGACUGCGACACCGACGGGUGGAGCAGGUACGAAAGUAGGACUUAGUGAUCCGGUGGUAUAAAGUGGGAUUGCCAUCGCUCAACGGAUAAAAGCUACCCUGGGGAUAACAGGCUUAUCACUCCCAAGAGUUCACAUCGACGGAGUGGUUUGGCACCUCGAUGUCGGCUCAUCGCAUCCUGGGGCUGUAGUAGGUCCCAAGGGUUGGGCUGUUCGCCCAUUAAAGCGGUACGCGAGCUGGGUUCAGAACGUCGUGAGACAGUUCGGUCCCUAUCCGGCGCGGGCGGAGGAUAUUUGAGAGGAGCUGUCCUUAGUACGAGAGGACCGGGAUGGACGGACCACUGGUGUAUCUGUUGUCGACCAACGGCAUGGCAGAGUAGCCAAGUCUGGAAGGGAUAAACGCUGAAGGCAUCUAAGCGUGAAGCCCCCCUCAAGAUGAGAUAUCCCUCCUUCGGGAGUAAGACCCCUUGAAGACUACAAGGUAGAUAGGGCAGAGGUGGAAGCAUGGCAACAUGUGGAGCUGACUGUUACUAAUAGGUCGAGGGCUUAAUCU